RNAcentral lists this ribosomal RNA (550 nucleotides) under Klebsiella oxytoca. RNAcentral's name for it is "bacterial SSU rRNA". It matches the Rfam family "Bacterial small subunit ribosomal RNA", at positions 112 to 658 of the family's 1533-position model. Lineage: Bacteria; Pseudomonadati; Pseudomonadota; Gammaproteobacteria; Enterobacterales; Enterobacteriaceae. The record is from RNAcentral.
AAUGUCUGGGAAACUGCCUGAUGGAGGGGGAUAACUACUGGAAACGGUAGCUAAUACCGCAUAACGUCGCAAGACCAAAGAGGGGGACCUUCGGGCCUCUUGCCAUCAGAUGUGCCCAGAUGGGAUUAGCUAGUAGGUGGGGUAACGGCUCACCUAGGCGACGAUCCCUAGCUGGUCUGAGAGGAUGACCAGCCACACUGGAACUGAGACACGGUCCAGACUCCUACGGGAGGCAGCAGUGGGGAAUAUUGCACAAUGGGCGCAAGCCUGAUGCAGCCAUGCCGCGUGUAUGAAGAAGGCCUUCGGGUUGUAAAGUACUUUCAGCGGGGAGGAAGGCGAUAAGGUUAAUAACCUUGUCGAUUGACGUUACCCGCAGAAGAAGCACCGGCUAACUCCGUGCCAGCAGCCGCGGUAAUACGGAGGGUGCAAGCGUUAAUCGGAAUUACUGGGCGUAAAGCGCACGCAGGCGGUCUGUCAAGUCGGAUGUGAAAUCCCCGGGCUCAACCUGGGAACUGCAUUCGAAACUGGCAGGCUGGAGUCUUGUAGAGGG